RNAcentral lists this ribosomal RNA (941 nucleotides) under uncultured Bacillota bacterium. RNAcentral's name for it is "bacterial SSU rRNA". It matches the Rfam family "Bacterial small subunit ribosomal RNA", at positions 11 to 917 of the family's 1533-position model. Lineage: Bacteria; Bacillati; Bacillota. The record is from RNAcentral.
CUUUGAUUCUGGCUCAGGAUGAACGCUGGCGGCGUGCCUAAUACAUGCAAGUCGAACGAAACUUCUUUAUCACCGAGUGCUUGCACUCACCGAUAAAGAGUUGAGUGGCGAACGGGUGAGUAACACGUGGGCAACCUGCCCGAAAGAGGGGGAUAACACUUGGAAACAGGUGCUAAUACCGCAUAACCAUGAAUACCGCAUGGUAUUUAUGUGAAAGGUGGUUUCGGCUACCGCUUUCGGAUGGGCCCGCGGCGCAUUAGCUAGUUGGUGGGGUAAAGGCUUACCAAGGCAAUGAUGCGUAGCCGAACUGAGAGGUUGAUCGGCCACAUUGGGACUGAGACACGGCCCAAACUCCUACGGGAGGCAGCAGUAGGGAAUCUUCCACAAUGGGCGAAAGCCUGAUGGAGCAACGCCGCGUGGGUGAAGAAGGUCUUCGGAUCGUAAAACCCUGUUGUCUGAGAAGAAAGUGCAUGAGAGUAACUGUUCAUGUUUCGACGGUAUCUGACCAGAAAGCCACGGCUAACUACGUGCCAGCAGCCGCGGUAAUACGUAGGUGGCAAGCGUUAUCCGGAUUUAUUGGGCGUAAAGGGAACGCAGGCGGUCUUUCAAGUCUGAUGUGAAAGCCUUCGGCUUAACCGGAGUAGUGCAUUGGAAACUGGGAGACUUGAGUGCAGAAGAGGAGAGUGGAACUCCAUGUGUAGCGGUGAAAUGCGUAGAUAUAUGGAAGAACACCAGUGGCGAAAGCGGCUCUCUGGUCUGUAACUGACGCUGAGGUUCGAAAGCGUGGGUAGCAAACAGGAUUAGAUACCCUGGUAGUCCACGCCGUAAACGAUGAAUGCUAAGUGUUGGAGGGUUUCCGCCCUUCAGUGCUGCAGUUAACACAAUAAGCAUUCCGCCUGGGGAGUACGACCGCAAGGUUGCAACUGAAAUGAAUUGACGGA